RNAcentral lists this long non-coding RNA (320 nucleotides) under Coffea arabica (coffee). Its description in RNAcentral is "long non-coding RNA (CARA_LNC007802)". Lineage: Eukaryota; Viridiplantae; Streptophyta; Magnoliopsida; Gentianales; Rubiaceae. The record is from RNAcentral.
UCCAAUCCCUCCAGCUCUUCUCACUGUCAGCUUACCACCACUACUUACACAAUUACAAUACAUUCACUUCCCUCAUCCGCGACUUAGCUUCCCAUUUCAGCAACCCCAGCAUUCCACAACACCAUUCCAAUUCACUUCACCAUCUGCCUUGGUAUCAUCGACGAGAGGAACCAGAGAGAGAGCCGUGCGAGCUUCGGUCCUUGAACUGUCCGAGAGAGGGUGAGAGCAAGAGAUAAUCGUGUGAGCUUCAUUGCCUCCUUCAUCAUCUGAGAGCUGCCAUUUCAUUCUUUACCUCAACCAGCGGUGAUCACUUCAACCUC